GCAGUAGGGUGCCAUCAAGAGGGUGUAUGA
This 30-nucleotide ribosomal RNA is filed under the name Enterocytozoon bieneusi. Its description in RNAcentral is "partial large subunit ribosomal RNA". Lineage: Eukaryota; Fungi; Microsporidia; Enterocytozoonidae. The record is from RNAcentral.